GAGACUCCGUCACACUGAUUCACCUAUAUCUGAAGAUUACCUGAACAGAACAGACAAAUAAAUGUGAGUUUCAUAAACUCAGUGUGCAACUCACGGAAAUAUAUACAUGCAUAAAAUUAAGAUUUCCAGUGCUUCAGAACAGAAGUGGACAUAAGUUCCUAACAGAGUCAAAUUAUACCAAAAUUAGAUUUUCAGAACAUACAGAUAUACAGAGUCCUACCCCCAUCCUCUACACACCAUCUCCGUCCAUCCCAACACAGCAUGUGGGGUAUAAAACGCCUACCCAUCCUUACACACCACAUAGUGUCUAAACCGCACUUAUCAGAAUAGUAUGCAGACAAGCUGCCAGUAUAUUGGCGAUAUGUCGCCUCAGAGAACACUCCCUCCACAUAUCCCAAUCCCACCCCAUAUAUAGAUACAAAAUAUAGAUACACGGGUAUAAUAGAAUUAGCAUGCGCAUAUACAAAUAUUAUACAUACUUAUGCAAAUCAAUUAGACAUAUACAUCGGUUUUCCUAAACUCACUCAAUCUAUCAGAUUAACAAAUCUCAUGCAUUAGGGUUUGUUUAGCCCUUACCGGUCCUACAGAAGGCUCACAGUCGAUUAGAACGACUCGUGUGACCUAAGGGAAAAUUUUAAUAUUUUGGGCCCACAUGCCUAUGUGGCCCACACGGCCUGGCCCAUAGCUCACACGCCCGUGUUGUAACACCCCUUACCCGUAUUCCUUACCGGAACAGAGUAUGAGGUAUUACUAAAUUUUUAAAAAUUUUCGACAGCAUUCCUACUUAUUUUUGCUUAAACCUCCUGCAAAUUUAGAACACAUUCCAAUAUACCAACCAAUUUCAUUUGUAUAAACACACAUAUAGUUUAACUAUUAAUAAACACUACAUUUAAAAGGGAACCAUAACAUAUAUUUACAUGAUGAUCCCACAUUACAUAAAGUGUCUAUACAUGCCAUAAAAUUUCGGAACACUAGUAGUAAAAUACCCCAAAUGUGAAGGAUAGUGUAGAUGAUUGUCUGACUUCGUUCCAAUUUCCGAGUUGUUGGAAGUCACUAUAACCAAGAGAAAAAUAAAAUCGAGUAAGCAUAUAGCUUAGUAAGUAAACACAUGAUAAAUAAGUAAUUACUCCCAUAACUACACCAAAAUAUAAAUUUAUUCAUGAAUAACUUUAUUGUUUAGGCAAUUUCCAGCAAGCUGUUUUUCUGCGUCAUAGUCGCUAAUUUAUUUUUAUCUGGAGCUACAGGGCUCCAAAUUGAGUUCCGUAAAUUUUCCCUAAAACUAGACUCAUAUACCAUUUCACCAUAAAAAUUUCAGAAUUUUUAACCCAUCAAAUUAGUACAGUUUAUUCAUUAAACCUUCCCUUGUUUCACUGCCCAACGGUUCUGACCCUUCCUCACUAAAAUUUACUUAACUCUCUGUACAAAAUUUGAAAAAUGGUUUCUCUUGUUUCUAAUAAAAAUAGACUCAAUAAGGAUUCCAGGGAUAUAAAUUUCAUGCCAUAAUUAUUUUUUUACAAUUUUUGGUAAUUUUCCAAAGUUAGAACAGGGGAUCUCGAAAUCAAUCCAGCCCUGUUUCAGUAAAAUUCAGAUAUCUCCAAAAAUACAACUCCUUUGCUUAUUCUAUUUCUUUCAUAUGAGAAUAGAUACAUUCAACUUCAAUUUCAUAUAUUAUUCAGCUUCCCAUUCAUUUUCCACCAUUUAUGGUGAUUUUUUCAAAGUUACCCAAUUGCUGUUGUUCAACACAGUUUAUAAUUAAAUCGUUCCUUUUGCGUUUUUGAUAUUUUCUCCCAUCUCAUACAUGGGUCGAUUUAGUAUUCAACUCAAUAUUUACCCCAUAAAAUUUUCUACCAUAUGGCAUAUUCAUCUUCCACACUUUUUCGUUGAACACUCGGAAUGNNNNNNNNNNNNNNNNNNNNNNNNNNNNNNNNNNNNNNNNNNNNNNNNNNNNNNNNNNNNNNNNNNNNNNNNNNNNNNNNNNNNNNNNNNNNNNNNNNNNNNNNNNNNNNNNNNNNNNNNNNNNNNNNNNNNNNNNCACCAAUGAAUCGGGGAAUCAGCACUUAGCAACCCCUCGGGGGAAUCAGCACAUAGCAACCCUCUUUCACAAUUCAAAGAUAUGGUGGAUCACGCACAUAGCACCACCCAUAAAUCGGGGAAUCAGCACACAGCAACCCCUUUUAUAUACAACAUACUACGGCUUAUUCCGAGUGUUCAACCCAUAACCCAUAUAUUGCAACCCUUUAUCACCUUUCCCGAUUUAACAACAUUUUUAGGAUAUUGCCAAACAUUUAUUUUAAUUCCAAAUAAAUCUCAACAUAUAUCAAAUAAUAUCAAAAUAAUACAUUAAGUCACGUGUUUACUUACCUCGGUGCAAAAUAUCGUAAUUUUGCACUUUACUCCACUAUCUUUCCUUUUCCCCGUUUGAUAUACUCUUCACGUCUUUCUUGAUCUAUAAUAGCAAAUUUAACUCGUUUAAUAUUCACAUUUAUUAAAAUAAUCCACCACCCAACUUUUUGAAAAUUACAAUUUUGCCCCCAAACUUUUGCAUAAUUACACUUUUGUCCCCAAGCUCGGAAAUUAAACUUCAUCACUUAUUCUUAAGUUUUAUAACAUGCUGAACAUUUUUCCCUUCUAUGGCAACAUCAAAUUCCCACUCCAACACAUACUUUUGAAUAUUAAUUAUUUUUACCGAUUAUGUCUAUUUACCCGUUUUCGCUUAAAAUUGCUUAGCAAAAGUUGUUUAACAAAAUCUCUAGCUUCAUAUUCCACCAUAAAACAGCAAAAUAAACACAUUUCACCUAUGGAUAUUUUUCCAAAUAUGAACCCUAACAUGAAUUAAUGGUAGAAUAAGCUAAACCAAGUUACUGGGACUCCAAAAAUACGAAGAACAUUAAAAACGGGGCUUAGAAUCACUUACUAUGGAGCUUGAAAGCU
RNAcentral lists this long non-coding RNA (2931 nucleotides) under Gossypium raimondii (Peruvian cotton). RNAcentral describes it as "long non-coding RNA (GRAI_LNC004147)". Lineage: Eukaryota; Viridiplantae; Streptophyta; Magnoliopsida; Malvales; Malvaceae. The record is from RNAcentral.